Potamilus streckersoni is the source of this 69-nucleotide non-coding RNA. The record is from the annotation of a GenBank genome assembly. NCBI's taxonomy places the organism in Eukaryota, Metazoa, Mollusca, Bivalvia, Unionida, Unionidae.
GGUGGACUAAGUGGUUAGAGUGUCUGCCUUGGGUGCGGGAAGUCGCGGGUUUGAAACCCGGCAGAGUCA